This 355-nucleotide ribosomal RNA is filed under the name uncultured bacterium. Its description in RNAcentral is "bacterial SSU rRNA". It matches the Rfam family "Bacterial small subunit ribosomal RNA", at positions 28 to 353 of the family's 1533-position model. The record is from RNAcentral.
GAUGAACGCUGGCGGCGUGCUUAACACAUGCAAGUCGAACGAAGCACUUUAAAACAAUCUUUCGGGUGCGUUUUAUUGUGACUUAGUGGCGGACGGGUGAGUAACGCGUGGGUAACCUGCCUCAUGCAGGGGGAUAACAGUUAGAAAUGACUGCUAAUACCGCAUAAGCGCACAGUACCGCAUGGUACAGUGUGAAAAGAUUUAUCAGCAUGAGAUGGACCCGCGUCUGAUUAGCUAGUUGGUGAGGUAAACGGCCCACCAAGGCGACGAUCAGUAGCCGGCCUGAAGAGGGGUGAAACGGCCCACAAUUUUGGGGACUGAGACACGGCCCAAAACUUCCUACGGGGAGGCAGCA